This 1307-nucleotide ribosomal RNA is filed under the name metagenome. RNAcentral's name for it is "SSU rRNA". It matches the Rfam family "Eukaryotic small subunit ribosomal RNA", at positions 483 to 1783 of the family's 1831-position model. The record is from RNAcentral.
AUACCGGGCCUUUUUGGGCUUGGUAAUUGGAAUGAGGGAGAGUUAAACGGACCAUCGAGUAUCCAUUGGAGGGCAAGUCUGGUGCCAGCAGCUGCGGUAAUACCAGCUCCAAUAGCGUAUAUUAAAGUUGUUGCAGUUAAAAAGCUCGUAGUUGGACUUGUGUGCGCUGUCCGCGGGUGGCCUGCGCCCAAAAGGGCGUUUCGGUUCGGCCCCGGUGGCGCCUUGAAAUCUGCAGCUGGGGGGACGUUGGCCUUAACUGGUCGGCGACCGCACGCCGGCUGCUCGGUUACUGUGAGAAAAUUAGAGUGUUCAAGGCAGGCAUUGGGUGCAAUUGAAUACAUUAGCAUGGAAUAAUAAAAUAUGGCUCCUGCCGUAUUUUGUUGGUUUUGACUGGUGGGAGUAAUGAUUGAUAGGGACGGUUGGGGGUGCUAGUAUUGAGCGGCCAGAGGUGAAAUUCAUGGAUUCGCUCAAGACUAACUUAUGCGAAAGCAUUCACCAAGGACGUCCUCUUUAAUCAAGAACGAAAGUUGGGGGAUCGAAGACGAUCAGAUACCGUCGUAGUCUCAACCAUAAACUAUGUCGACUUGGGAUCGGCGGUAGUUUUUUCAUUAAGACACUGUCGGGACCACGGGAGAAAUCAAAGUGUCUGGACUCUGGGGGAAGUAUGGUCGCAAGGCUGAAACUUGAAGGAAUUGACGGAAGGGCACCACCAGGAGUGGAGCCUGCGGCUUAAUUUGACUCAACACGGGGAAACUUACCAGGUCCAGAGAUGUAGAGGAUUGACAGAUUGAAGCUCUUUCUUGAUCACUUCGGUGGUGGUGCAUGGCCGUUCUUAGUUGGUGGAGUGAUUUGUCUGGUUAAUUCCGUUAACGAACGAGACCUCAGCCUGCUAGUGUAGUCGGCUGGAUUGCCUUUGGCGAUCCGUGAUUUCGACUUCUUAGAGGGACAAUCGACGCGCAGUCGAUGGAAGUUUGAGGCAAUAACAGGUCUGUGAUGCCCUUAGAUGUUCUGGGCCGCACGCGCGCUACACUGCUGGGCUCAGCGAGUUUUACUUGGCCGAGAGGCCCGGUUAAUCUUAUGAAAUCCCAGCGUGCUUGGGCUCGCCUCCUGCAACUGGAGGCGCCAACGAGGAAUUCCUAGUAGACGCAGGUCAUCAACCUGCAUCGAUUACGUCCCUGCCCUUUGUACACACCGCCCGUCGUUCCAUAAGAGUGAGGCAUCCGGUGAAUUCUCGGGAGAGCCUGGGCGUGGCCAGCAAUGGUCUGCUCGGGUUUGAACUUGCAUAAACUUGGUGCCUAUGAUUAGGG